UUGUAAUUGUUUUUAUGUGUGAGGAAAAACUCACUCUGGGCAUGGUGACACACACUUGUCAUCCCUACACUGGAGGCACAGAGUCCGGAACGUGAGACGUUCAUCACCGUUGACUACAAUACCGAGUUUGAAGCCAAGCCGGGGCUGUACAAGACUCUGUGUCCAAACCAACAGACGAGGACUCUGGGGCUCAAGGUUACAGUGUUUGUCUGCGUGUGGACGGCUGGGAAGUGAGAGAACACGGCAGGAAAUCGAGGCAGGAAUUCUACCUUUACCUGGCCUUUCCUUCUCCUCUCAUCCAUCUUGCCACAAGGAUUCCCGGAAGAAGAGUCCAUCUCUUUUACCAGGGAUCUCUGUGGGUGGUGCCUUCUCUGGACGGUCACUCACAUGGAAGGAGUCACGGAGGGAGCCGUAUGCUGGGAGCCGUACGCUGGAGACAUUGAAGGGUUUACUCCAGCUGCUCCUGUGGCCUCCCAGAGCCCAGUGUGUCUGUCCUGGGACCAAGUAACCGUCAGGUUACCCCCAUCCCCCAGGCUUCUGCAGCAGCCACAGGAUGGAGCCUCAGCUCCUGCAUUGGCUCCUUGUCUUUUCUGUCCUUUGUUCUAACUCAGUGGUUGGUCAUAAACUCUUGUAACUCAGGUAACCCCAG
RNAcentral lists this long non-coding RNA (649 nucleotides) under Rattus norvegicus (Norway rat). RNAcentral describes it as "long non-coding RNA NONRATT031649". Lineage: Eukaryota; Metazoa; Chordata; Mammalia; Rodentia; Muridae. The record is from RNAcentral.